Molecule: ribosomal RNA, 242 nt
Filed under: uncultured bacterium
Lineage: Bacteria
Description: partial 16S ribosomal RNA
Rfam family: Bacterial small subunit ribosomal RNA
Source: RNAcentral
GUAGCUUGCUAUAGUAUAACUUAGUGGCAGACGGGUGAGUAAUGUAUAGGAAUCUACCUAGUAGUACGGGACAAUUGCUGGAAACGGCAACUAAUACCGUAUACGCCCUACGGGGAAGAUUUAUUGCUAUUAGAUGAGCCUAUAUUAGAUUAGCUAGUUGGUAGGUAAAAGCUUACCAAGGCAAUGAUCUAUAGCUGAUCUGAGAGGAUGAUCAGCCACACUGGAACUGAGAUACGGUCCAG